Drosophila innubila is the source of this 4149-nucleotide RNA transcript. It is a transcript of the gene named acetylcholinesterase, with no coding region annotated. The record is from RefSeq and is a predicted model, not a curated record. The transcript has 7 exons. Lineage: Eukaryota; Metazoa; Arthropoda; Insecta; Diptera; Drosophilidae.
AUGACACAUAAAUUUAAAUAUCGCGACAAACUAAAAUGUCUAACUGGCACACUGAUGAUAUUAAUGGUAAUUCACACACUGCCCAGAAACAUUGAAGCACAAACGCGAGAUCCUCGAUUUUACUCCCGCGUGGGUGUCGACUAUCGAUGGCCAAGUCCUGGAGAUCCAGAUUACAGAACUUACACUUUCAACGAUCGUCGUUACGGGCAUUAUCAACCGAAUGGUUAUGGUGCCAAUUAUCCUGGCAGAAAUCCACCCGGACAAUAUCCACAGGGUAUGCCCAAUGAAGAUCGCUUUCGUUUUGAUCCGAAUGAUCCAAAUGCAAGGACGCAAUUUCCUGGAGUCUUGGCCGGCUGGCGUGAGGAUUUGCAGGGUAAACAACGAAGGGAUUCGUUGACACUCGAGCGUGAUGUGUUCGUGACAACAAAUUAUGGACAGGUGCAGGGAUUUAAGGUCUAUAUGUAUGAUAAUCCCGAUCCGAAAUCGUUCUAUCGACCCUAUCACUCCACUGUGGAUCGUGUGAUGGGCGAGUGUUCGGUAUUCUUGGGCAUUCCUUACGCCCUCCCGCCCACGUUUGAGGGUCGCUUUAAGCCACCUCGUGCUCAUCGUGGCUGGCAGCUGUUGCAGGCUGUGGACUUUGGGCCAGCUUGUCCACAACCGGUACGAUAUACAGGGGCUACUAAAGGUGUCAUGGACAUGGACGAGGAUUGCUUGUAUCUGAAUGUUUAUUCACCCAAGACUGGCGCUGGCGUGGCACAGAAGUAUCCGGUUAUGGUUUAUAUACACGGUGGCGAAUUUGUGCGUGGCGCCUCCAAUCUAUUCCAGGGUCACAUGCUGGCCUCGUUUUACGAUGUGGUUGUAGUCACUCUUAACUACCGACUGGGCGCUUUGGGUUUCUUGUCCACAGCAGAUGAGAACUCGCCUGGCAACUAUGGCAUCUUGGACCAGGCCAUGGCACUGAAAUGGGUCCACGAUAAUAUUGAAUUCUUUAAUGGCGAUCGUGAUUCUAUUACGCUGUUUGGCCCCGGAGCUGGUGGCGCCUCGGCUGGACUUUUGAUGGUGGCUCCACAGACACGCAAUCUUGUGAAGCGUGUGAUUGCCCAGUCUGGUUCGGCUUUAGCGGAUUGGGCUUUUAUCCAGGACAAGUAUAGAGCACAAAAUACAAGCCGUGUGCUGGGUCAAGUGCUGGGCUGUUCCAUUGAUUCCUCCUGGAAGCUGGUCAACUGUCUGCGCACUGGUCGAAGUUUCUAUGAGCUCGGUAAUGCGGAGUUCUCCGCUCAGGUGGGAAGCUUCCCUUGGGGCCCAGUGUUGGAUCAUAAUUUCACAUUGCCGGCCGAUGAUUGGUAUGAGGGCUGGCGGGAGAAAGAUUGGCGUUUCCUCACCCAAACACCCGAGACUCUGAUCCGUGCUGGCAGAUUCAAUAGGAAUAUCCAGUACAUGACGGGAGUGACCACACAGGAGGCGGCUUUCUUUGUCGCCCAGAAUGAAUCCUUGUCUCCUUUCUUCGAAGUAAAUGGGAAAUUCUUUGAGCAGAAGAUUAGGGAGCAUGUCUUUCGCUAUAACUACACCCUGAAUCCAAUUGGUGUCUACGAAGCCAUUAAAUACAUGUACACCUUUUGGCCAGAUCCCAAUAAUAACACAAUUAUACGAGAUCAAUAUAUCAAUAUGCUGAGCGAUCUCUACUAUCGUGCGCCAGUUGAUCAAAUGGUCAAGUUAUUGCUGGAACAGAAGAUACCAGUUUAUAUGUAUGUACUCAACACCACAGUGGAGGCACUUAAUCUUCCCCAAUGGCGCAAAUAUCCUCACGAUACGGAGCAUUACUUUUUAACUGGUGCUCCCUUCAUGGACACCGAGUUCUUUCCCAAAAAGGAGCAUCUGCAACGAAACAUGUGGACGGAUAAUGAUCGCAACAUGAGUCAUUUCUUCAUGCAGACCUAUUCGAAUUUUGCAAGAUAUGGCAAUCCGACGCCACAACAAGUGCUGGGCAUGCACUUCCAGCGCGCCUAUCAAGGAGAGAUUCGUUAUCUUAAUAUUAAUACCACCUACAAUUCAUCGAUCCUGCUUAAUUAUCGGCAAACAGAGUGCGCAUUCUGGACGCAAUAUUUACCCACUGUUAUUGGGGUUCUGGUGCCAACAUAUCCGCCCACUACGGAGUAUUGGUGGGAGCCGAAGGAGCCGCUGCAAAUAGCCUUUUGGAGCAUGUCGGUGGCAUGCUUCUUUCUCAUUGUGCUCGUCGUCAUCUGUUGCAUCAUGUGGCGCAAUGCCAAGCGACAAUCGGAUCGUUUCUACGAUGAGGAUGUAUUCAUCAAUGGCGAGGGCAUGGAACCAGAGCAAGAUCCACGUGGCGUGGACAAUGCGCACAUGGUAACCAAUCAUCAUGCACUGCGCUCAAGGGAUAACAUCUACGAGUACCGAGAUUCUCCAUCGACUAAAACACUGGCCAGCAAGGUGCAUACGGAUACCACAUCCCUGCGUUCGCCCAGCUCACUGGCCAUGACCCAAAAGUCUGGCAGUCAGGCCUCCCUGAAGUCGGGCAUCUCGCUGAAGGAGACAAAUGGCAGUCUGGUCAAGUCGGAGCGUGCUGCGACACCACGUUCCCAGGCCAAUGGAACAACUGUGAAAGCGGCGCCUGUUGAGGAGAAGCGUCUGCUACAGCCCAUCUCGAGUACGCCGGUGCCACAGCUGCAAUCGGAGCCAACAAAUCGAUCAAAGCCUGCCAGUGUGGCCAGCAGCAGCAGUCGGAGCACAACUCCUGUGCCAUCGGCACGCACCACAACAACGACAGCGACGCUGACAACACAACCAGCGGUGCAGCAAGUGAUGCAAAAAGUGGUUCAGCCAACGGUGCAACCAGCGGUGCAGCCAAGACGUACACAGCUCGUGGAGGGCGUGCCACAAACAUCAGUCUAAGUAACCGCUCUCUAAGCACGGGAUGUGCUUAGAGAGUUAACCGUCAGAGCUUUUGAAUGAACAACAAAAUAAUGUAACAUUGACAUUGGAAUCCCACAGUUAUUCGCGUAUUCCUGCAUAAUUAGUUGACAUUUCAAUAGAGCCAGAAUUUUAGUUUUAUAUUAUUUAUAAUUAGAUUUAAACAGGUCUCUAAGAUCUCCGGAUCCCCUACAUGUAGCUAACUUAUAUCUUCUUAUACAACAAAGUUUAUGUACACUUUUCUCCGUUUUUUGAAUUUUCAUUUCUAAUACAUUUGUUGAAAAUUUUUCAAAAAGCCAAUAUACUGUAAUUAAUAAUGAAAAACUGUGUAAAUCGUAGAAAAAUGUACAAAAACAUUGUGGUACAUGCUGGGUAUUAAUUAAGCAUUUUUAAUUUCUUUUACUGAUUUUUUUUUCCAAAUAUUUGUUAAGUUCGAUAACCCAACGAAUACGAAUCCAUAUCAAUGACAUUCCAUAGAAAAGUUGUUAGUCUCUUUAGAGGCGACGCCUUUCAAUGUAUAUACAAAUUGUAUUAACAAAAUGUACAUUAAGUUAUAAAUUUAGAUUGUAAAUUAAUUUAAGAAAUGUCCCCAAUAUAAUUUUAAUGCAUCUAUUCAAAUUUAAGAAGUUUCUAAACAAUUAUAGUAAUCUUAACAAAUACGAUUAUAUGUUUUGAAUAAAACUGAAUCCAACUUAGCAGAGCACCGAUUGAAAUUCCCAUCAUAAUCACAUAAUUAUUAAUCAUCAAUUAUUUAUAAAUUAUAAGACAAGUGCCUUUAUGCGGAUCUAGCCUAAAGUUAAGUAAAUGUACUCAUGUAUUUAAUUAUAUAUGUAUGUAUUUUAUAUGUAUGUUUUAUGUGUCGCAUAUAUAGAACCAAACGACCAUACAAAUCAGUGUGAACCGUCCAAUAAUUUUUAUGUUUUCAUGUGAAGCGUGUGUAACUUGUUUAUUUUAUAUGUUUAUGUAUAUAUAAUAUAUAGAUUAUAUGAUCUAUUGUUUACAUGUUUGAAAACAUAAAAAUACACUAGCAUUAACAUUACCACUUACAUUUAUAUUUAGUUUAUUUUAUUUUAUUUUAUUGUAAUCAUACAAUUUUAACUAUUAUUUCAUUUGUAAAAUGUCCAACACAAUGUUAAUGCUUCACGUGUCUUGUGUUCUUUCAUCAUCAAAACACAAAAACCAUAAAAUUAGUAAAUAAAGUUUUCUUUUUGUGCUUAAAGA